GGCUCAGGACGAACGCUGGCGGCGUGCUUAACACAUGCAAGUCGAACGAGGUCCAAGGUGUAGCAAUACACCGGAAGAUCUAGUGGCGAACGGGUGCGUAACACGUGAGGAACUUGUCCCGGUCUCUGGGAUAACAGUUGGAAACGACUGCUAAUACCGGAUGACGUCGGAGCGUCGCAUGGCGCGCUGACGAAAGGGUUACUGGAUCGGGAGAGCCUCGCGGCCUAUCAGCUUGUUGGUGGGGUAACGGCCUACCAAGGCAUCGACGGGUAGCUGGUCUGAGAGGAUGAUCAGCCACACUGGGACUGAGACACGGCCCAGACUCCUACGGGAGGCAGCAGUGGGGAAUCUUGCGCAAUGGGCGAAAGCCUGACGCAGCAACGCCGCGUGCGGGAAGAAGGCUCUCGGGUUGUAAACCGCUUUCAGCAGGAACGAAAAUGACGGUACUUGCAGAAGAAGGUGCGGCCAACUACGUGCCAGCAGCCGCGGUGACACGUAGGCACCAAGCGUUGUCCGGAUUUAUUGGGCGUAAGGCGCUCGUAGGCGGUUCGGUAAGUCAGGUGUGAAAACUUUGGGCUUAACCCAAAGCCUGCAUCUGAUACUGCCGUGACUAGAGUUCGGUAGGGGAGUGGGGAAUUCCUAGUGUAGCGGUGAAAUGCGCAGAUAUUAGGAGGAACACCGGUGGCGAAGGCGCCACUCUGGGCCGAUACUGACGCUGAGGAGCGAAAGCGUGGGUAGCAAACAGGAUUAGAUACCCUGGUAGUCCACGCCGUAAACGUUGGGCACUAGGUGUGGGUUUCAACCAACGAAAUCCGCGCCGUCGCUAACGCAUUAAGUGCCCCGCCUGGG
This 849-nucleotide ribosomal RNA is filed under the name uncultured bacterium. RNAcentral's name for it is "bacterial SSU rRNA". It matches the Rfam family "Bacterial small subunit ribosomal RNA", at positions 21 to 877 of the family's 1533-position model. The record is from RNAcentral.